CAAAUACUGGCGCGGUGGGAUUGUACUGGAAGAAGAGGUGAUACAAUCCUUUGUAGAGCAUCGGUCCUGGCUUAAGUCCAUGAGGUAACGAUCUUUUCUUUCUAUCAUUUUCUUACCAUUGGGAUCUUUUGGGACAGGAAAGAGGAAGAAGAACAUACACAUACAAGGGUGGCUUUUACUUGAGUGACUCUAGAAGUUAUAAUUUUACCAUUCAUCCAGUUCUUGAUGGGUUGGAAGUGGAAUGCAGGGCGUAAGUCAUCCCCCACAGACGAUCCUGCAAGCGAUAAGAUGAUUAUUAUCAGAAGCAUAGCCGGCAUUUGAAAGGCAAGGUUGGUGCAACCAUCUUUUUUAGCUUAAUCGGGUAAAUCAAAUUCGGGAGAAAAAUAAAAGCUGGACAUCUUUUUCUUCGUAGGGAUGACAGGAUUCGAACCUGCGGCCGUUUGUACCCAAAACAAACGCGCUACCGAGCUGCGCUACAUCCCUGGCCGCAAUUUCCAGUGCCGGAAUGCUGCCCCAGGCGAACUUGCAUGUUAGCAAAACAGUUUUGAAACUCUUGACAGGUUCUUUCCGGCUCUUUGUCAAGCAGCUUUCAAAUCCUUCGAAAAAGAUAGGGAAAGUGAAAGUAAAAUAAAAUAGAAUAUUUA
RNAcentral lists this long non-coding RNA (644 nucleotides) under Selaginella moellendorffii. RNAcentral describes it as "long non-coding RNA (SMOE_LNC001952)". The record is from RNAcentral. Lineage: Eukaryota; Viridiplantae; Streptophyta; Lycopodiopsida; Selaginellales; Selaginellaceae.